AAAAUUUUAAGUUAUUUAAACUAUUAACCUUCAAAGUUAAAAAUAAUUUUAUUAAAUUUU
Molecule: transfer RNA, 60 nt
Filed under: Ismarus sp. ZJUH_2016020
Lineage: Eukaryota; Metazoa; Arthropoda; Insecta; Hymenoptera; Diapriidae
Description: tRNA-Trp
Source: RNAcentral